Molecule: ribosomal RNA, 253 nt
Filed under: uncultured bacterium
Lineage: Bacteria
Description: partial 16S ribosomal RNA
Rfam family: Bacterial small subunit ribosomal RNA
Source: RNAcentral
UACGUAGGUGGCAAGCGUUGUCCGGAUUUACUGGGCGUAAAGAGCGCGCAGGCGGUCGUUCAAGUCGCGUGUGAAAGCCCCCGGCUCAACUGGGGAGGGUCACGCGAUACUGAUCGACUCGAAGGCAGGAGAGGGAAGUGGAAUUCCCGGUGUAGUGGUGAAAUGCGUAGAGAUGUGGAGGAACACCGAUGGCGAAGGCAGCCCCCUGGGCCAACACUGACGCUCAGGCACGAAAGCGUGGGGAGCAAACAGG